Molecule: ribosomal RNA, 465 nt
Filed under: uncultured bacterium
Lineage: Bacteria
Description: partial 16S ribosomal RNA
Rfam family: Bacterial small subunit ribosomal RNA
Source: RNAcentral
GACGAACGCUGGCGGCGUGCUUAACACAUGCAAGUCGAACGGAAAGGCCCCUUUGGGGGUACUCGAGUGGCGAACGGGUGAGUAACACGCGAGUAACCUGCCCUUGUGUUCGGGAGAACUUCAUGAAACUGGGGCUAAUACCGGAUAGAAAUCCUUGCUUCAUGGUGGGGGUUUGAAAGCUUCGGGGGUUUUGGAUGGACUCGCGGCUUAUCAGCUUGUUGGUGGGGGAGUGGCUUACCAAGGCUUUGACGGGUAGCCGGCCUGAGAGGGCGACCGGCCACAUUGGGACUGAGAUACGGCCCAGACUCCUACGGGAGGCAGCAGUGGGGAAUAUUGCACAAUGGGGGGAAGCCUGAUGCAGCAACGCCGCGUGCGGGAUGACGGCCUUCGGGUUGUAAACCGCUUUCAGCAGGGGCGAAGCUUGUGGUGACGGUACCUGCAGAAGAAGCACCGGCUAACUACGUG